Long non-coding RNA from Candoia aspera, 636 nucleotides. RefSeq lists it as uncharacterized. The transcript has 6 exons. The record is from RefSeq and is a predicted model, not a curated record. Lineage: Eukaryota; Metazoa; Chordata; Lepidosauria; Squamata; Candoiidae.
ACUUGAGGCCUGGGUAGUGGUAUUCCUGCUCUUUAUUUGAAUUAACUUGUUUUGUACUGUUAACAGGUAUUGGUGCCAAACGCUGGAGCGGAGGGCAGAAAAUGGCUUGUACGUGUGAUGGGUCUGCAGAUGAUGACAAGGGCAAGACAGCUUCCAGGAGGAAAGAUGAUGAGAUGGAUUGGUGCCUGGGAGUUGGACAUGGCGGUUCAUAAAAGCCUGUUCUGAGUUGACCUAAGAGAAGACUUGCAGGUCGGUCUCAACAGAAGCUUAUAGCUGGUUUACUGUCUGGAAGUGUUCGGUGCUUGGAGAGGAUGUCAUUACUCUUUCAUAAACAUCAAGGCUAGCAGCUCACCCUGCAAGGAGUAACAGUGCAAUGUGGUGGCCUUCCAUUUUCCUUCUGAAGAGGACCAUCUGCACCCACUGGUGGAGUCGACGGCUCAGAGGGUGACGACAAUGUAAUGGUCUUCAAAGAUUUCCUUGGAAUUUGCCAUGGACAUGCUGAAAAAGCCAAGGCCUUGAUGCAGAUAGGAAAAAGCCUCCAGCAAAAAUUUCUGAAAUUUCCUAACAGCCGUCUGAUAGGGUUGUGUUCUUCUGUAGUAGUAUGGAAUUAAAAGGAUUUUGAAUCUUUUCAAAAAA